GAUGAUCAUGGCUCAGAUUGAACGCUGGCGGCAUGCCUUACACAUGCAAGUCGAACGGCAGCAUGAUCUAGCUUGCUAGAUUGAUGGCGAGUGGCGAACGGGUGAGUAAUACAUCGGAACGUGCCCUGUAGUGGGGGAUAACUAGUCGAAAGAUUAGCUAAUACCGCAUACGACCUGAGGGUGAAAGUGGGGGACCGCAAGGCCUCAUGCUAUAGGAGCGGCCGAUGUCUGAUUAGCUAGUUGGUGGGGUAAAGGCCCACCAAGGCGACGAUCAGUAGCUGGUCUGAGAGGACGAUCGGCCACACUGGGACUGAGACACGGCCCAGACUCCUACGGGAGGCAGCAGUGGGGAAUUUUGGACAAUGGGCGAAAGCCUGAUCCAGCAAUGCCGCGUGUGUGAAGAAGGCC
Molecule: ribosomal RNA, 408 nt
Filed under: uncultured microorganism
Description: bacterial SSU rRNA
Rfam family: Bacterial small subunit ribosomal RNA
Source: RNAcentral